AAAUUGAAGAGUUUGAUCAUGGCUCAGAUUGAACGCUGGCGGCAGGCCUAACACAUGCAAGUCGAACGGUAACAGGAAGCAGCUUGCUGCUUUGCUGACGAGUGGCGGACGGGUGAGUAAUGUCUGGGAAACUGCCUGAUGGAGGGGAUAAAUACUGAGAACGGUUGCUAAUACCGGAUAACGUCGCAAGUCCAACGAGGGGACCUUCGGGCCUCUUGCCAUCAGAUGUGCCCAGAUGGGAUUAGCUUGUUGGUGAGGUAACGGCUCACCAAGGCGACGAUCCCUAGCUGGUCUGAGAGGGAUGACCAGCCACACUGGAACUGAGACACGGUCCAGACUCCUACGGGGAGGCAGCAGUGGGGAAUAUUGCACAAUGGGCGCAAGCCUGAUGCAGCCAUGCCGCGUGUAUGAAGAAGGCCUUCGGGUUGUAAAAGUACUUUCAGCGGGGAGGAAGGUGUUGCGGUUAAUAACCGCAGCAAUUGACGUUACCCGCAGAAGAAGCACCGGCUAACCCGUGCCAGCAGCCGCGGUAAUACGGAGGGUGCAAGCGUUAAUCGGAAUUACUGGGCGUAAAGCGCACGCAGGCGGUCUGUCAAGUCGGAUGUGAAAUUCCCCGGCUCAACCCUGGAAACGCAUUCGAAACUGGCAGGCUUGAGUCUUGUAGAGGGGGGUAGAAUUCCAGGUGUAGCGGUGAAAUGCGUAGAGAUCUGGAGGAAUACCGGUGGCGAAGGCGGCCCCCUGGACAAAGACUGACGCUCAGGUGCGAAAGCGUGGGGAGCAAACAGGAUUAGAUACCCUGGUAGUCCACGCCGUAAACGAUGUCUACUUGGAGGUUGUGCCCUUGAGGCGUGGCUUCCGGAGCUAACGCGUUAAGUAGACCGCCUGGGGAGUACGGCCGCAAGGUUAAAACUCAAAUGAAUUGACGGGGGCCCGCACAAGCGGUGGAGCAUGUGGUUUAAUUCGAUGCAACGCGAAGAACCUUACCUGGUCUUGACAUCCACAGAAGAAUCCAGAGAUGGAUUUGUGCCUUCGGGAACUGUGAGACAGGUGCUGCAUGGCUGUCGUCAGCUCGUGUUGUGAAAUGUUGGGUUAAGUCCCGCAACGAGCGCAACCCUUAUCCUUUGUUGCCAGCGAUUAGGUCGGGAACUCAAAGGAGACUGCCAGUGAUAAACUGGAGGAAGGUGGGGAUGACGUCAAGUCAUCAUGGCCCUUACGACCAGGGCUACACGUGCUACAAUGGCGCAUACAAAGAGAAGCGACCUCGCGAGAGCAAGCGGACCUCAUAAAGUGCGUCGUAGUCCGGAUUGGAGUCUGCAACUCGACUCCAUGAAGUCGGAAUCGCUAGUAAUCGUGGAUCAGAAUGCCACGGUGAAUACGUUCCCGGGCCUUGUACACACCGCCCGUCACACCAUGGGAGUGGGUUGCAAAAGAAGUAGGUAGCUUAACCUUCGGGAGGGCGCUUACCACUUUGUGAUUCAUGACUGGGGUGAAGUCGUAACAAGGUAACCGUAGGGGAACCUGCGGUUGGAUCACCUCCUUACCUUAAAGAAGC
RNAcentral lists this ribosomal RNA (1552 nucleotides) under Salmonella enterica subsp. enterica serovar 1,4,[5],12:i:-. RNAcentral describes it as "bacterial SSU rRNA". It matches the Rfam family "Bacterial small subunit ribosomal RNA". Lineage: Bacteria; Pseudomonadati; Pseudomonadota; Gammaproteobacteria; Enterobacterales; Enterobacteriaceae. The record is from RNAcentral.